Molecule: long non-coding RNA, 787 nt
Organism: Lutra lutra (Eurasian river otter)
Lineage: Eukaryota; Metazoa; Chordata; Mammalia; Carnivora; Mustelidae
Exons: 3
Source: RefSeq, a predicted model, not a curated record
UCCUCCGUGGGUCAGGACUGUUCGUUGGCCUAGGCUCAGCCGGGAGGGCAGUUACUGGAAUGUUCGGGGUCGGUGGGGGGCACCCACAGUCAGUAGGGUUAGGCCACAUAGGGACACAGUGUGUAGAGCCGCCCUGGGCCUGGGGAAGCCCUGACACCUGCUGCUUGUGGUGGGCAGAGGAGGAGCCCAAGAGCAGACUGAGGCCACUGGAGAGGCUGACAGGCUGACAGGUUCCCUGGGGACCAGGAUAGGGGACCCACCCCCUCCCCCGACAUCCCUGUGCUCCGCAUGGGCAAGGACAGACAGACAGCUCCUCGAGGGCUCAUGGCUACAAGAGCCAGCCACACCUGCCCCUGCAGCUGGGGCAGAGAGGCUCAGAGGAGGUGAAGGGACUGAAGGACCCGCUCACCAGGCUCCGCCCACUCCCAGCGCCCGGCAGGUCCCCAGCACCUUCCUCCAGGGCCUCCUGCACUGGCAGCUCCUCUGAAGGUCUUCAGUGACAGGUGUGGAUCCGGUUUGGAUGCGGAUGGAGUGGAAGGAGGCGGCCCCAUGGGUGGCUCCCGCCCCCCACAAGAUGCCCCGCCCCCCUCCUGUGGGCUCAGCUUCAGUUUUCCAGGAUAAGGGAGGCCUCAAGGGCACAGAUGCCUCCUCCCUGUCCCACGGGGGCAGGACAGGACUUGGCGGCCCCUGGAGAGAUCCUGUGCCUUCUGGCUUCCCCUGGAAACGUGUGCCUGGCAGGCCUCCCUUGUGCUGCGCUCCUGGUCUCAGCCCUCCCUUCUGCCAGGAA